Molecule: ribosomal RNA, 471 nt
Filed under: uncultured bacterium
Lineage: Bacteria
Description: bacterial SSU rRNA
Rfam family: Bacterial small subunit ribosomal RNA
Source: RNAcentral
ACUCCUACGGGAGGCAGCAGUGGGGAAUAUUGGACAAUGGGGGGAACCCUGAUCCAGCCAUGCCGCGUGUGUGAAGAAGGCCUUUUGGUUGUAAAGCACUUUAAGCGAGGAGGAGGCUCCUGUAGAUAAUACCUACAGUGAGUGGACGUUACUCGCAGAAUAAGCACCGGCUAACUCUGUGCCAGCAGCCGCGGUAAUACAGAGGGUGCGAGCGUUAAUCGGAUUUACUGGGCGUAAAGCGUGCGUAGGCGGCUUCGUAAGUUGGAUGUGAAAUCCCCCGAGCUUAACUUGGGAAUUGCAUUCAAAACUGCGAGGCUAGAGUAUGGGAGAGGAUGGUAGAAUUCCAGGUGUAGCGGUGAAAUGCGUAGAGAUCUGGAGGAAUACCGAUGGCGAAGGCAGCCAUCUGGCCUAAUACUGACGCUGAGGUACGAAAGCAUGGGGAGCAAACAGGAUUAGAUACCCUGGUAGCUA